CUCAUCACACACCCCCAAGCAUAGGGACUCAACAACCAGCAGCAACAGCAAUUCCAGCGCCUGUUCCUACACCCCCUGCCAUGCCGCCUGGAGCACAGCCCCAGUCUCUACGCCCCCCAUCUAGACAGACUCCUACACCACCAACACAUCUGCCUCCCCAAGUGCAACCUUCACUUCCUGUUCCUCCUGCUGACCAGUCCCAGCCACAGCCUCGCUCACAGCAGAGCACAGCAGCUUCUGUCCCCACCCCAACAGCACCACUGCUGCCUCCUCAGCCUCCUACUCCACUUUCUCAGCCAGCUGUAAGUGUUGAAGGCCAGGUGUCAAACCCUCCAUCU
RNAcentral lists this long non-coding RNA (338 nucleotides) under Rattus norvegicus (Norway rat). RNAcentral describes it as "long non-coding RNA NONRATT026147". The record is from RNAcentral. Lineage: Eukaryota; Metazoa; Chordata; Mammalia; Rodentia; Muridae.